GUGAUGUUUUUUUGACACAUAGCAAUUUAAGAAUACAUGUACGGAGAACUUUAAGGGUUACUGCCAAAGAACACCCCAAUAUGUGUUCAGCAACAUCUCCUAAAUACAGUGAUACCACCCAUGUACAGGGCCAGAUUAACAUAGGGGCUGAUGGAGCUGCAGCUCCAGGCAUGCCCAUGAAAUAGCCACACUGCUAAAAUCUCUUUACAUGUGGAUGAAGGGAAACAAAACUGGUGUUGAUUGGCUGACAAUGAAAUUAGUUAAGGUAAAGCUGACUUUGUACACUAUGCAAAGCUGCUUUGGUAAGUGGCAUGUUCCCUUUCUUGUACACUCACUUCAUACACCUUUUCUCUGUCCCAGACUGUGUAACAGGAGCUUCUGCCUGCUAGUAAGAAGGUAAGGAGAGGAGUGGACAAGUGAGUGCUAGUGGACAGUCCUUAGAAAGCAUGG
Molecule: non-coding RNA, 450 nt
Organism: Pelobates cultripes (western spadefoot toad)
Lineage: Eukaryota; Metazoa; Chordata; Amphibia; Anura; Pelobatidae
Source: the annotation of a GenBank genome assembly